Molecule: ribosomal RNA, 492 nt
Filed under: uncultured bacterium
Lineage: Bacteria
Description: partial 16S ribosomal RNA
Rfam family: Bacterial small subunit ribosomal RNA
Source: RNAcentral
AGUGAACGCUGGCGGUAGGCCUAACACAUGCAAGUCGAACGGCAGCACAGUAAGAGCUUGCUCUUACGGGUGGCGAGUGGCGGACGGGUGAGGAAUACAUCGGAAUCUACUUUUUCGUGGGGGAUAACGUAGGGAAACUUACGCUAAUACCGCAUACGACCUACGGGUGAAAGCAGGGGAUCUUCGGACCUUGCGCGAUUGAAUGAGCCGAUGUCGGAUUAGCUAGUUGGCGGGGUAAAGGCCCACCAAGGCGACGAUCCGUAGCUGGCCUGAGAGGAUGAUCAGCCACACUGGAACUGAGACACGGUCCAGACUCCUACGGGAGGCAGCAGUGGGGAAUAUUGGACAAUGGGCGCAAGCCUGAUCCAGCCAUACCGCGUGGGUGAAGAAGGCCUUCGGGUCGUAAAGCCCUUUUGUUGGGAAAGAAAAGCAGCAGGUUAAUACCCCGCUGUUCUGACGGUACCCAAAGAAUAAGCACCGGCUAACUUCGUG